CCAAGGGAUAUUGUUGUCUUGAAGCCCAGUAACUUUACUAGGAUAUGUCUGAGUUCAUUUCCCCUUGAAUAUUAUGUGGACUUUCUUAUGUGGAUACAAACUUAUUUUAUUUCAGAUAAGAAGAUUCUAUGUAGAUGCAAGGAUCUUCACAACAUGAGGAGAAGCCUGAUGUGAGAAGCUGGUUAUAAGAAGGAGAUUUAUUCCACAAAAGAACAGACCUCAUAGCCAUCUUUUCACCUCUCCCAGCUGUAUCAUUUUCAUAUAUUCUUCCGGCUGAAAGUUUGGAUAAAUUCAGGGAAGUCUAGUGAAGAAAAUUUAAAAUCAUCAAGGUUUCAGCAUGUACUCUAUGUCCCCACAAAUUUGGAAGUGGAUUUUGUGAUUGAGCCUGUGAGACAUUGUGGUGAGGAUGUGAAAGAGAAAGUGGAGCAUCCAUCAAGGCAAAUAUAUACUUGCCCACAUAUAUGUGACAUUUGUAUAAAAUUGCUUGUUGCAAUAUACAUACAAUGGAAUUCUAUGUUGGAAUGAAAAGAUCUCGAAGACAUAUUAAGAGAAAAAAGCAAGAUGCAUAAAAUGUACAAGAUUUCCCUGGUUGGAGAAAGACACUCAAACUGCUCAGUGGCUGCCCUGCAAGUUGACGACCACUCGCCUAGAGGGACGCUUGAUUCACUGGGAGUCCACUAGUCCUUUCAUCCUCCUGAUCGCCUCUUCAACUGUUUCCCAUAUCCUACAAUCUAUCUUUUCUCCAACUUCCCAGACUGUCUCCCCAUGCCCACUCUCAGCUGAUUCCUUGCUUACCACUUCAAUAAAAACAUAGAAGUGCUCAGAAAAGAACCUCUGCCAAUUCCCCCUCAGCACAUCUGUGCCCACAUCCGCUGACUUCCUUCCUGUUACUAUAUGUGGUGAUUUAAAUAUAUAUCCACAAAUUCUUUGACAUUUAAAGAAUUUUCAGAAAGUAGAAUCUAAAUUCCCUCCCCUUGACUAGGACUUACUGACUCAUUUCUAAUAAACAGAAUGUGGAGACACUGAGGGUAUGCGACUUCCAAGCUAGAUUAUAAAAUCCUUAAGGCUUCUGCGUGUCCUUGCUUGGAUCACUGUCAUGUUGUGAGUACACUCGAGCAACCCUAUGGGAAGGUCCAUCUGGUGAAGAACUGAGGCUUCCUGUCAACAGCCAACAUGAACUUGCCAGUCAUGUGAAUGAAUCAUCUUGGAAGUAGUCUUCAGCCCCCAGUCAAACCUUCCUAUGACUACAGCCUUGGUCAACACCUUGACUACAACCUCAUGAGGCACCUUGAGCCAAAACCACCCAGCCUAGGUACUGUUAAGUUCCUAACCUAAGGAAAUUGUGUGAGAUAAUAAAUGUGGGUUUUCAUGCUGUCUUAAGCCAUUGAAUUUUGGGACAAUUUUUUACACAGCAAAAGAUAACUGACAAACUAUGAAUGAACUCUCCAU
Canis lupus familiaris (dog) is the source of this 1449-nucleotide long non-coding RNA. RefSeq lists it as uncharacterized. The transcript is spliced from 6 exons. NCBI's taxonomy places the organism in Eukaryota, Metazoa, Chordata, Mammalia, Carnivora, Canidae. The record is from RefSeq and is a predicted model, not a curated record.